GGAUGCUGAGGACUUGCUGGAGUCACAGCCGCUGGGAUCCUUUCUCAUCAGGGUCAGUCACAGCCACGUGGGCUACACACUUUCUUACAAUGUCUCCGCAGAGCCCAAAGCAGCUGCUGCCAUUUCAUGGUGAAGCUCUUGGAUGAUGGAACUUUCAUAAUCCCCGGGGAGAAGGUGGCCCACACCUCACUGGACGCCCUGGUCACCUUCCACCAGCAGAAUCCAAUUGAGCCGCGCAGGGAGCUGCUGACACAGCCCUGCAGAAGGAUCCAGCGAACGUGGAUUACGAGGAUCUCUUCCUCUACUCCAACGCAGUGGCGGAGGCAGCUGCCUGUCCGGUGUCUGCACCUGAGGAGGCCUCCCCAAAGCCAGUCCUGCGUCACCAAUCAAAGGAAAGAAAGCCGUCAUCAGAGAUGAACAGAGUAACCACCGAGGAAGCCACUUCCUCCUGCCCCCCAAAAACCCCUCUUGGAGAGACCCGCCAGAAACUCUGGAGGAGCCUCAAAAUGCUCCCCCAGAGAGGCCAGAGGGUCCGGCAGCAGCUGAAAAGCCACCUCGUCACUGUGAGCCUGCCGUCACUCUUGGAUGUCCGGAGAUCCACGGUGAUCUCAGGCCCUGGGACCGGAAAAGGCAGCGAAGAUCACUCAGGGGAUCCCACUUCGGGGGACAGAGUCCACACGGAUCCCUGUGCGGUCACAUCUCUCAAAAGCCCCUCACAGCCCCAGGCACCAAAAGACAGAAAGAUCCCCACCAGGAAGGCCGAGAGGUUGGCCAGCUACAGUGAGGUGACCCCGGGGGACAGGAGUUGGCACCAAAUGGUAAUGAGAGCUCUGUCCUCCCAGGAGUCCACACCAGAACACCAGGGCUUGGCAGAGCCUGAGAACGACCAGCUCCCGGAGGAGUACCAACAACCGCCACCGUUUGCCCCUGGGUACUGCUAGAGAACAGGUCCAUCCUGGCUCUGUCCUCUUGCUACCGGGGGCUGCCACACUCCUGAAUGUCCUAACAUUUCUUCCAUGGCCCCACACCAUGGCAUCCGGGAGUCUUUGGGAACCCGGGAAACGGAACGAAGAUGUUUUUGGGGUCUGUU
This is an RNA transcript of Mandrillus leucophaeus (drill), 1090 nucleotides long. It is a transcript of the gene named hematopoietic SH2 domain containing, with no coding region annotated. The annotation marks the transcript as partial. The record is from RefSeq and is a predicted model, not a curated record. The transcript has 4 exons. Lineage: Eukaryota; Metazoa; Chordata; Mammalia; Primates; Cercopithecidae.